UUCUUUAAAUCAAAAAUUUAUAGCAUUAACAUUUGAAUUAUAAAUUAUUAUUGAAAUAAACAUAAAGAUGACUGUUAGACAAAAGUCUUUAUAGAUUGAAUAUACAUUAUAAUUUUAUUUUUUUAUAUUGUAAUAUGAAGUACUUGUUUGUAUUUUUUAUUUAGUUUAAAAUAAAAUUUUUUUUUAUUAUAUACAGGUAAUCCUUAACCUAUGAUGGGAUUUUGUUUGAACUAUCAUAAGUGGAUUGGUCUUAUAUCACUCCACUUAUAAUGAUGGGAGUAGGAAAUGUCCAAUAUUUAUGGAUGGCCCAUGAUCAGUACUUAUUAUUACAUUUUUCUUUAUCAUAAUAAGCUUAACAAAUGUAAAAAUACAAAAACCAGAUACAAAGAAUACUUUUUAUAUCAGACCAUUAUCAGGGACUUAAAUUCACUCUCAGUUGUAUUGAUCAGUCCAGAAUUUAUCAAUGACAUCAACAUCAUAAAUAUAAAUGGUUGUAAAUUGAGAGUUGUAAGUUGAAAACUACCUGUUUAUUGUUAUGUAAGAAAAGAAGUUAAACAAAAGUUAAGAUUAAUUAUUUUCAUAAAUAUAACACUAGAAUAUAAAAUCAAUAUGAUUAAAGAAAAAAAGAAUAAAUUUUUGAAAUUUAAUUGUUACUAUAGUAAAAUGUUUAAGUAAAUAUAAUUCAAAUUGUGAUAUUACUUAAC
RNAcentral lists this long non-coding RNA (704 nucleotides) under Androctonus crassicauda. The record is from RNAcentral. Lineage: Eukaryota; Metazoa; Arthropoda; Arachnida; Scorpiones; Buthidae.